This 80-nucleotide ribosomal RNA is filed under the name Falona echinata. RNAcentral's name for it is "Cynosurus echinatus partial 26S ribosomal RNA". It matches the Rfam family "Eukaryotic large subunit ribosomal RNA", at positions 1 to 78 of the family's 3401-position model. The record is from RNAcentral. Lineage: Eukaryota; Viridiplantae; Streptophyta; Magnoliopsida; Poales; Poaceae. RNAcentral also lists the same sequence under 11 other names.
CGCGACCCCAGGUCAGGCGGGACUACCCGCUGAAUUUAAGCAUAUAAAUAAGCGGAGGAGAAGAAACUUACAAGGAUUCC